Molecule: ribosomal RNA, 508 nt
Filed under: uncultured bacterium
Lineage: Bacteria
Description: bacterial SSU rRNA
Rfam family: Bacterial small subunit ribosomal RNA
Source: RNAcentral
AGGGUUCGAUCAUGGCUCAGAACGAACGCUGGCGGUGUGCUUAACACAUGCAAGUCGAACGAGAAAGUUUCCUUCGGGGAACUAGUAAAGUGGCGCAAGGGUGAGUAACACGUGAAUAAUCUGCCCUCGAGAUCGGGAUAACUUGGCGAAAGCUAAGCUAAUACCGGAUAAGACCACAUUUCAUAAGAAAUGAGGGAAAAGGAGUCUCAAUCUUCACUCGAGGAUGAGUUCGCGGACCAUUAGCUUGUUGGUGAGAUAAAAGCUCACCAAGGCUACGAUGGAUAGCCGGCCUGAGAGGGUGAACGGCCACACUGGAACUGAGACACGGUCCAGACUCCUACGGGAGGCAGCAGUGGGGAAUAUUGCGCAAUGGGCGAAAGCCUGACGCAGCAACACCGUGUGAGCGAUGAAGGCUUUAGGGUCGUAAAGCUCUGUCAAAUGGGAAGAAUUCUGGCGGUACCAUUAGAGGAAGCCCCGGCUAACUCCGUGCCAGCCGCCGCGGUAAUAC